Molecule: ribosomal RNA, 2100 nt
Filed under: human gut metagenome
Description: bacterial LSU rRNA
Rfam family: Bacterial large subunit ribosomal RNA
Source: RNAcentral
CUCCGAAUACCGUUGACGUGUAUUCCGGCAGUGAGUCGGCGGGGGAUAAGCUCCGUCGUCGAGAGGGAGACAGCCCAGACCGUCGUCUAAGGUCCCGAAGCGUGUGCUAAGUGGGAAAGGAUGUGGAGUCGCAUAGACAGCCAGGAGGUUGGCUCAGAAGCAGCCAUCCUUGAAAGAGUGCGUAACAGCUCACUGGUCUAGUGGUUCCGCGCCGACAAUGUAGCGGGGCUCAAGCACACCACCGAAGACGCGGCAGCAAUCUUCAUGGUUGCUGGGUAGGAGAGCGUCCUGCGAGGGGCGAAGCGGCGGUGGAAACCGGCCGUGGACUUCGUGGGAGUGAGAAUGCAGACAUGAGUAGCGAGAGACGGGUGAGGAUCCCGUCCGCUGGAUGACCAAGGGUUCCGGGGCCACGUUCGUCGUCCCCGGGUGAGUCGGGUCCUAAGGCGAGGCCGACAGGCGUAGUCGAAUGGAUGAACGGGUGGAUAUUCCCGUACCGACCAUGGACCGGCAAAACCGAGACGGUGAGUACUAACCUCCGCCUCGUGGUGGUUCCUUCCUUCGGGUUGGUGUCGCCGCGUGGUGUUGGGACUGUAGCCGUAGUAGGUCAGCGCAGGGGUGACACGGAAUGGGAGCCGGCCGCGGAGGUGGUUUUCCGUGGUCAAGCACGCAGCCAGUCAUGUAGGCAAAUCCGCAUGGCGCGCAUGGCGAGGUGUGAUGAUGGGAGCCGUUAUGGCUCGAUAUCCGGUUGUCCAGGCCGUCGAGAAAAGCCUCGGCGUGAGGGCCAUGGCCGCCCGUACCCCAAACCGACACUGGUGGUCAGGUAGAGAAUACCAAGGCGAUCGAGCGAAUCCUGGUCAAGGAACUCGGCAAAUCACUCCCGUGCCUUCGGUAUAAGGGAGACCCGCUGGGGUGAACCGGCUAGCCCGGGGAGCUUUGGUGGGUGGCACAGACCAGGGGGUAGCGACUGUUUACCAAAAACACAGGUGCAUGCGAAGGCGAAAGCCGCUGUAUAUGCACUGACGCCUGCCCGGUGCCGGAAGGUUAAGAGGAUCCGUCAAUCCCUUCGGGGACGAAGCGGUGAAUUCAAGCCCCGGUAAACGGCGGUGGUAACUAUAACCAUCCUAAGGUAGCGAAAUUCCUUGUCGGGUAAGUUCCGACCUGCACGAAUGGCGUAACGACUUCCCCACUGUCUCGACCAGGAGCUCGGCGAAAUUGCAGUACGAGUAAAGAUGCUCGUUAAGCGCAGAAGGACGAAAAGACCCCGGGACCUUUACUAUACCUUGGUAUUGGCGUUAGGCGCGGAUUGUGUAGCAUAGGCGGGAGGCUUCGAAGCGUGGGCGCCAGCUCAUGUGGAGCCGCAAGGUGAAAUACCGCUCUGUUCUCGUUUGACGUCUAACCUCGACAAGUCAUCCUUGUCAGGGACAGUGCCUGGCGGGUAGUUCAACUGGGGCGGUUGCCUCCCAAAGAGUAACGGAGGCGCUCAAAGGUCCGCUCAGCCCGGUUGGCAAUCGGGUGUCGAGUGUAAUCGCACAAGCGGGCUUGACUGCGAGGACGACGGUCCGAGCAGGGACGAAAGUCGGAGAUAGUGAUCCGGUGCCGGCGCACGGGCGCGGCAUCGCUCAACGGAUAAAAGGUACCCCGGGGAUAACAGGCUGAUCAUUCCCAAGAGUCCAUAUCGACGGGAUGGUUUGGCACCUCGAUGUCGGCUCGUCGCAUCCUGGGGCUGGAGCAGGUCCCAAGGGUUCGGCUGUUCGCCGAUUAAAGCGGCACGCGAGCUGGGUUCAGAACGUCGUGAGACAGUUUGGUCUCUAUCCUCUGCGCUCGUUGGAAUCCUGAGGAGGCCUGCCCAUAGUACGAGAGGACCUGGGUGGACGGACCUCUGGUAUGCCGGUUGUCGCGCCAGCGGCAUGGCCGGUUGGCUACGUUCGGGAGGGAUAACCGCUGAAAGCAUCUAAGCGGGAAGCCUGCUCCAAGAUUAGGAUUCCUUGACGCUCCCCGGAGCGUUUGUAGCCCGCAUGUUGAACACGUGUUCGAUAGGCCGGAGGUGGAAGCCCCGCGAGGGGUGGAGCCGACCGGUACUAACGGGCGAACGCGGCACAC